Myotis brandtii (Brandt's bat) is the source of this 74-nucleotide non-coding RNA. The record is from Rfam. NCBI's taxonomy places the organism in Eukaryota, Metazoa, Chordata, Mammalia, Chiroptera, Vespertilionidae.
GCCAGUGUGGCUCAGUUGGUUGGAGCAUUGUCUCAUGAGCCAAAGGGUCAUGGGUUCAAUUCCCAGUCAGGGCA